UGUACUUUUUUGUCUUUGCUCUCUUUCAAAGCAAGACAUGCCUUAAAAUAUUUUGGCCAGUUCUGCCAAAGCACCGGUAUUGUCCAGAAGCAAGUGUUUAGUGUGUAAUAGACCUACGAAUUUUUUAUUUCAACGAAUUAAAACAACCGGUUGAAUAGGUGAGUUCCGGAUCAAAUUUCUUAUAUAACACUGAACAAAUGGAGCUUGCUUCUGAGGGCAAAACUGUUAGACCAACGUCAGGGAAAAGACGUUCUGGAACUGAUGGAUUCCUGACAAAUAUAGAAGGAAUGAAGCUUUUUAAAGGUCCAAACUAGUGAACACCAGCUGACAAAAGUCAUGAAUAACUUCAGUUGAACUUGUACUCCAGUUGGCGAAUUCCUGAUUGCCGAUAAAAUCCUGGAUAACCACAGAUCACCAUGGAGAGUUCUUCGUUGGAUACAAAAUCAGUGAGAUAUCGAGUGACAAGCCGUAGCUUUAUCACUUAUCCCUCGACAACUGCUGCCUGUUUGAAGUCUGAAAAAGCGAACUUUUAACAGAAAUCAUAGAGCUCCUUAUAUGGUAUCACAUAGUUUCAUUCCUCAAAGGAGGAGCAAACGGUCACAGGCCAACCCAUGUGGCGCUGUGGGAAUAGUCAGACCGGCAGGAUUUAUUGUUUGAAAAGUAGAGGUUGACUCGGGAAACCAUUAUAAUUAUAUUAAUAUUCUGUUUUGCUAAGAAAAUCCCACAUUGUGUUAGGGAAUUUGUGAUGCCACUUGUCACAAUACUAUGGUACAGCAUUUUAAGGUGGCUACCCUAAGGUCUAGGAAAAUGGGUGAAUAUCUUGGUGUUUACAUAGUAAUGCAUUCAGACUUGACAAAUCCAGUACUAAUUUAAAUAUUAAUCCCAAAUAUGGCCAAUAAUUAGAUUUUUUUUUUUUCAAACCAUAAUUUCCAAACUCAACCCCCCUCCCCCUAUCUUCCACUGGGCCAUUAUGGACUAGCAAAAACUUUUUUUUUCUAACAAGUUUUAUAUUGAUGUCUGCCAAGUUAACAAAUUUUUUGAAAUGAGCACUUUUUCCUAUUUCUGCCACUUUUGUCAAUGUAGCCUUCAGCAUAUAAAUUCGGAGUAUGUCAUUUAAAAUGAUCAAAUAUAGUUUUUGAGUUCUCGGAUAACGUUUUACUAGUUAGAGAUUCAAUCUUCAUAAAAGAAUGCGUAAAAUAUAUCGUCAGCCAUACGACGAAACAGAAUUCCUUUUAGAAUCUGAAAAUAUUUUUUUUUUUUUUUUAUGCAAAUGAGCAAUAUCACUUACUUUGGAUAUGUAUUCAGAAAAUUGAGAGAGCACUGCGAAAUCAUUGUUUUAAAGCCUUAUUCUUACAGAGGUUAGAAUUGGUAAUUCAAUAUAAAUUCCUGUCUUCAGUGUGUAUUUGUUUACUUAGCAUUAAUUUCGACAAAUAUUUUAACUGAUAUCAAACUAUUCAGAAAUCAUUGGAUUUUCGAAUUGAGCUUACUGAUUUAAAACUAGUGAAUAAGGACUGAAAGAUUAUUUACUCUUUUUUAAUGUAAAAAUCAUGACGGUAGCCAGAGAUAAAUCAUGCCAAUGUAAUUGAAAAAUCUUUAAUUAAUUUGCUCUCUAAAUCUGUCUAGACUGGUCAGUUAGAUUAACUUGGAAUUUUUGAUAAUUCAGAUCUAUCCAUAGUUUCUCACAAAUUGUCUGGAAUGUCAAAAUUUUGAGAUUUUUAUUUUUAUUUCAUAAGCAAUUGGAUAUUUCAUAAGCAAUUGGGUAUAUCUUAAAAUCUAAAACAUCCAUUACUCUGACAAUUAGUUAAAAAGUUAUACUGAUCUGUCAAGUUAUCUUGCUCUCGGAUUCCUGUUCAGUCAGUACUUAAAAUAUGAAAAAUAGGAAUCAGUAUUUGAUAGUUCAUUCCUUUUAAUUGCAGUAUGUUAAAUUGGA
Molecule: long non-coding RNA, 1930 nt
Organism: Macrobrachium nipponense
Lineage: Eukaryota; Metazoa; Arthropoda; Malacostraca; Decapoda; Palaemonidae
Exons: 4
Source: RefSeq, a predicted model, not a curated record